RNAcentral lists this ribosomal RNA (399 nucleotides) under uncultured alga. Its description in RNAcentral is "eukaryotic LSU rRNA". The stretch from base 1 to 105 matches the Rfam family "5.8S ribosomal RNA", at positions 50 to 154 of the family's 154-position model. The record is from RNAcentral.
GAAAUGCGAUACGUAGUGUGAAUUGCAGAAUUCCGUGAACCAUCGAAUUUUUGAACGCAUAUUGCGCUCAAGGCUUCGGCCAAGAGCAUGUCUGCCUCAGCGUCGGGUUCAAUAUCCCACCCCUCACUCCCCCAAUCAUUUGAGGGAGCGUUGGUAGUGGGGAUAAAUCGCAGUCUCGUCCCUGUCAAAGGGGCGUGUCUGCCGAAGUCAACAAGGUGCCUCAUAGCGUGGAGUCAGUCCCUCUAGGGAUGGGCUCCAUUCCAAGCCGCACUCGAAUAAACAUCUCGUAUGUCAUUCGACCUCGACGUCUUGCGCUGCGAUGACGCGUGGGUUAACAGCCCCGUGUCCUACCCCUUUUUCACUUGGAACACCCAACACUUCUCGACCUGAGCUCAGGCA